RNAcentral lists this ribosomal RNA (496 nucleotides) under uncultured bacterium. Its description in RNAcentral is "partial 16S ribosomal RNA". It matches the Rfam family "Bacterial small subunit ribosomal RNA", at positions 28 to 507 of the family's 1533-position model. The record is from RNAcentral.
GAUGAACGCUGGCGGCGUGCCUAAUACAUGCAAGUCGAGCGAACAGACGAGGAGCUUGCUCCUCUGACGUUAGCGGCGGACGGGUGAGUAACACGUGGAUAACCUACCUAUAAGACUGGGAUAACUUCGGGAAACCGGAGCUAAUACCGGAUAAUAUAUUGAACCGCAUGGUUCAAUAGUGAAAGACGGUUUUGCUGUCACUUAUAGAUGGAUCCGCGCCGCAUUAGCUAGUUGGUAAGGUAACGGCUUCCCAGGCAACGAUGCGUAGCCGACCUGAGAGGGUGAUCGGCCACACUGGAACUGAGACACGGUCCAGACUCCUACGGGAGGCAGCAGUAGGGAAUCUUCCGCAAAGGGCGAAAGCCUGACGGAGCAACGCCGCGUGAGUGAUGAAGGUCUUCGGAUCGUAAAACUCUGUUAUUAGGGAAGAACAAAUGUGUAAGUAACUAUGCACGUCUUGACGGUACCUAAUCAGAAAGCCACGGCUAACUACGUG